UUCCAUGCAAAGCAGAUUCAUCAGCCAGCUCAAGCUCUCCAAACAAUUCCUUUGUCCUGGCCCUUCUCGGUCUGGGGGCUCGAUAUCCUCGGCCCUUUCCCCCGAGCCGUCGGGGGCUUUGAGUACUUGUACGUUGCAAUCGACAAGUUCACAAAGUGGCCAGAAGUGGAGCCAGUGAGAAAGGUGACAGCACAGUCAGCGGUCAGGUUCUUCAGGUCAAUUGUUUGCCGUUUCGGAAUCCCCAACAGGAUCAUCACCGACAACGGUACACAAUUUACUAGUCGCACCUUCAUGCAGUACGUCCAAGACCUUGGCGCCAAGGUCUGUUUCGCUUCUGUUGCUCACCCGAGGAGCAACGGUCAAGCGGAGAGGGCCAAUGCUGAAGUGCUGCGCGGACUCAAGACGAGGACCUUUGACAGGCUGCGCAAGUGCGGAAGAAAUUGGAUAGAGGAGCUACCGGCGGCUCUUUGGUCGAUCAGAACGACACCAAGUCGAGCCACCGGACAG
RNAcentral lists this ribosomal RNA (507 nucleotides) under Triticum aestivum (bread wheat). Its description in RNAcentral is "partial small subunit ribosomal RNA". Lineage: Eukaryota; Viridiplantae; Streptophyta; Magnoliopsida; Poales; Poaceae. The record is from RNAcentral.